AAAAAAAAAAUUCUUUUGAACGGCACAAGAACCAAAUAUUCAUGUGUCCAUUAACAUAAACGGCAAAUUUGCAAAUCAAGGAUACCUGUCACUAGUUCUAAAGACAGCACCAGCAUUUUCCAAAAGGAUCUUCAACAACUCCAAGGCCACUAUCUUCCCUCUCAUCAACUGGGGAUCAGCCAAGGCCUCUUUAGGAGGUGUUUUCAUUGACAACUUGCAAAGAGC
RNAcentral lists this unclassified non-coding RNA (225 nucleotides) under Hevea brasiliensis (rubber tree). Lineage: Eukaryota; Viridiplantae; Streptophyta; Magnoliopsida; Malpighiales; Euphorbiaceae. The record is from RNAcentral.